GCGCCUGCGCAGAGCGCCCGCCGCCCGCCGGGGCGUGUUCUCUGUUUGGGGAUUGCCUUAGCUCGGUUGGGGUGCAUCCCUCGCCCGCAAAACGCGCCCUGCGGGAGCCUGCAAGUUUCCACGAACAGCCCGUUAGUUAGGGGCUGCCCUCUGAGACCAUGUCCAAGUCUCUGAAGAAGUUGGUGGAGGAGAGCCGGGAGAAGAACCAGCCGGAAGUGGACAUGAGUGACCGCGGCAUCUCCAACAUGCUGGACGUCCACGGCCUGUUCUCCUUAUCCCACAUCACACAACUGGUCCUCAGCCACAACAAGCUAAUAACUGUGCCUGCAAACAUAGCAGAGCUGAAGAAUUUGGAAGUGCUUAACUUUUUUAAUAACCAGAUUGAGGAGCUGCCCACACAGAUCAGCAGCCUUCAGAAACUGAAGCACCUGAACCUUGGGAUGAAUAGACUAAACACUUUGCCUCGAGGAUUUGGCUCUCUCCCAGCUCUUGAGGUCCUUGAUUUGACUUACAACAACUUGAAUGAAAAUUCCCUUCCUGGAAACUUCUUCUACCUGACCACCCUGCGUGCACUCUAUCUAAGUGACAACGAUUUUGAAAUCCUGCCGCCAGAUAUUGGGAAGCUCACAAAGUUGCAGAUACUCAGCCUUAGGGAUAACGACCUGAUCUCGCUGCCUAAGGAAAUCGGGGAGCUUACUCAGCUUAAGGAGCUUCACAUUCAGGGGAACCGCCUGACCGUUCUGCCCCCAGAACUAGGAAACCUGGAUCUGACUGGUCAGAAACAAGUAUUCAAAGCAGAGAACAAUCCUUGGGUUACCCCGAUUGCUGACCAGUUCCAACUUGGCGUGUCCCACGUUUUUGAAUAUAUCCGUUCAGAGACGUAUAAGUACACUUCAGUGAACUGAAGCAAGGCUGAUGGUCAGAUCCACCUGAAAAGCAGGCGUGCAGGUACUCCCAUUUGCCAGCUAGCAUAAUAGAUAUUCUGGAAAGAGAUGCAAGUCUAGGUUACUCAACUAAUGCGUGGCGGAACUCGCACUCAGUCCCUCUCUCCUGCACUCCACGCUGCCUGCCUCCAGACCAGCCUUACUCUACUCAGUCUCUACGGCAGACACAUGCAGGCAAAUCCAGAACCACCGAAGAAAAAUAAUGACAAAUC
RNA transcript from Pipistrellus kuhlii (Kuhl's pipistrelle), 1156 nucleotides. It is a transcript of the gene named Ras suppressor protein 1, with no coding region annotated. The record is from RefSeq and is a predicted model, not a curated record. Lineage: Eukaryota; Metazoa; Chordata; Mammalia; Chiroptera; Vespertilionidae. The transcript has 10 exons.